RNA transcript from Corylus avellana, 1326 nucleotides. It is a transcript of the gene named basic helix-loop-helix (bHLH) DNA-binding superfamily protein, with no coding region annotated. The record is from RefSeq and is a predicted model, not a curated record. NCBI's taxonomy places the organism in Eukaryota, Viridiplantae, Streptophyta, Magnoliopsida, Fagales, Betulaceae.
UAAAAUCCCCUCUAGCCCCAUUAGAGCAAAAGAAAUAAAAAGAAAGAGAAAGAUCCUUCUCUCUCUCUCUCUCUCUCUCUCUCUUUCUCUCUCUUUAAUUCUCUCUCUUCCCCACAACAACAAAAACUAAAGCCAUGGACAACAUUAGUGAAGAAUACAACAAUAUUGAAGAGUACAAACACUAUUGGGAGACCAAAAUGUUCCUUCAAACUGAAGAGCUUGAUAGCUGGGGAUUGGACGAGGCGUUUUCUGGGUACUAUGAUUCGAGCUCGCCGGACGGAGCGGCGUCGUCGGCGGCGUCGAAGAACAUUGUGUCGGAGAGGAAUAGGAGGAGGAAGCUGAACGAAAGGCUGUUUGCACUCAGAGCAGUGGUCCCGAACAUCAGCAAGAUGGAUAAGGCUUCAAUAAUCAAAGAUGCUAUUGAAUAUAUUCAAGAGCUGCAUGAACAAGAAAGAAGAAUCCAAGCUGAGAUAAUGGAGCUUGAAUCAGGAAAAUCCAAGAAAAAUUCUGGUUAUGGCUUUGAGCAAGAGCUUCCCAUCUUGUUGAGAUCAAAGAAAAAGAAAACUGACCAAUUUUAUGAUUCUGGGGGUCCAAGAACUUCCCCUAUUGAAGUCCUUGAACUUAGGGCAACAUACAUGGGGGAGAAAACAGUGGUGGUGAGCCUAACAUGCAGUAAAAGGACAGACACAAUGGUGAAGCUUUGUGAGGUCUUCGAAUCUUUGAAACUGAAGAUCAUCACAGCAAACAUCACUGCUUUUUCUGGGAGGCUUGUGAAAACCGUCUUCGUUGAGGCAGGUGAAGAGGAAAAAGAACACCUGAAGAUACAGAUUGAAACAGCCAUUGCAGCUCUCAAUGAUCCACAAAGCCCUAUGAGCAUUUAACAACACCAGAUGGAUCAAAAGUUUGAGUCCUCCAAGGAAGGGUGGGAUGUUUGUUGUAGAAGAUGGAUCCAGGAGGCAUCUAGUUAUUGUGAAGGAGUUGAUACAGAUAAUUUUUUAGGACCUAGAUCUCGUAUGGCUCAAGUUUAUGUGAGACGCUGAUGGAGCUACUUGCAAGGAUAUCCAGGAGGCAUCUAGUUAUUGUGAAGGACUUGAUACAGAUAAUUUUUUAGGACCUAGAUCUCGUAUAGCUCAAGUUCAUGUGGGACGCUGAUGGAGCUACUUGCAAGGAUAUGAUUGAGAUAAUUUUUAUGUUGUACCUUGUUAAAUGUAGGCUUUAAUUAUGCUAAGAACAAUUGGAUGUCGUUUGUAACAUAUUUUGAUGAUUGGUCUUUGACCUCAACAUUUGGAGGUUUAUCUAUGUUAUAAUGCUAUUAAGUUUCACUUU